RNAcentral lists this ribosomal RNA (491 nucleotides) under uncultured bacterium. Its description in RNAcentral is "partial 16S ribosomal RNA". It matches the Rfam family "Bacterial small subunit ribosomal RNA", at positions 29 to 506 of the family's 1533-position model. The record is from RNAcentral.
AGUGAACGCUGGCGGUAGGCCUAACACAUGCAAGUCGAGCGGCAGCACAGUAAGAGCUUGCUCUUACGGGUGGCGAGUGGCGGACGGGUGAGGAAUACAUCGGAAUCUACUUUUUCGUGGGGGAUAACGUAGGGAAACUUACGCUAAUACCGCAUACGACCUACGGGUGAAAGCAGGGGAUCUUCGGACCUUGCGCGAUUGAAUGAGCCGAUGUCGGAUUAGCUAGUUGGCGGGGUAAAGGCCCACCAAGGCGACGAUCCGUAGCUGGUCUGAGAGGAUGAUCAGCCACACUGGAACUGAGACACGGUCCAGACUCCUACGGGAGGCAGCAGUGGGGAAUAUUGGACAAUGGGCGCAAGCCUGAUCCAGCUAUACCGCGUGGGUGAAGAAGGCCUUCGGGUUGUAAAGCCCUUUUGUUGGGAAAGAAAAGCAGCAGGUUAAUACCCCGCUGUUCUGACGGUACCCAAAGAAUAAGCACCGGCUAACUUCGU